This 628-nucleotide ribosomal RNA is filed under the name Rhodococcus sp. So1Ps_701. RNAcentral's name for it is "bacterial SSU rRNA". It matches the Rfam family "Bacterial small subunit ribosomal RNA", at positions 387 to 1028 of the family's 1533-position model. Lineage: Bacteria; Bacillati; Actinomycetota; Actinomycetes; Mycobacteriales; Nocardiaceae. The record is from RNAcentral.
UGCAGCGACGCCGCGUGAGGGAUGAAGGCCUUCGGGUUGUAAACCUCUUUCAGCAGGGACGAAGCGAAAGUGACGGUACCUGCAGAAGAAGCACCGGCUAACUACGUGCCAGCAGCCGCGGUAAUACGUAGGGUGCGAGCGUUGUCCGGAAUUACUGGGCGUAAAGAGUUCGUAGGCGGUUUGUCACGUCGUCUGUGAAAACCCAUCGCUCAACGAUGGGCCUGCAGGCGAUACGGGCAGACUUGAGUACUGCAGGGGAGACUGGAAUUCCUGGUGUAGCGGUGAAAUGCGCAGAUAUCAGGAGGAACACCGGUGGCGAAGGCGGGUCUCUGGGCAGUAACUGACGCUGAGGAACGAAAGCGUGGGUAGCAAACAGGAUUAGAUACCCUGGUAGUCCACGCCGUAAACGGUGGGCGCUAGGUGUGGGUUCCUUCCACGGGAUCUGUGCCGUAGCUAACGCAUUAAGCGCCCCGCCUGGGGAGUACGGCCGCAAGGCUAAAACUCAAAGGAAUUGACGGGGGCCCGCACAAGCGGCGGAGCAUGUGGAUUAAUUCGAUGCAACGCGAAGAACCUUACCUGGGUUUGACAUAUACUGGAAAGCUGCAGAGAUGUAGCCCCCCUUGUGGCC